GUGGCAUCUUCGAAGAUCCGUGCGCAGUUUUUCUUUCAGUGGUGCAUGGAUUCAAAGCGAUGCCCAAAUUGAAGAUAAAUUCACAGCUUCUUGCUGUGUGUUUCCCUCGUUUCUGUGGAUUUUCCUCUGUUGAAUGCUAAAAAACAUCAUCACGAAUUUUCACGAAUGGUUUUGGAUGCAUAAAUAGCGUCCUUUACCCAGGAAACUGGGGCACAUCU
This 218-nucleotide small nucleolar RNA is filed under the name Kluyveromyces lactis. The record is from RNAcentral. Lineage: Eukaryota; Fungi; Ascomycota; Saccharomycetes; Saccharomycetales; Saccharomycetaceae.